GACGAACGCUGGCGGCGUGCUUAACACAUGCAAGUCGAACGGAAAGGCCCUGCUUUUGUGGGGUGCUCGAGUGGCGAACGGGUGAGUAACACGUGAGUAACCUGCCCUUGACUUUGGGAUAACUUCAGGAAACUGGGGCUAAUACCGGAUAGGAGCUCCUGCUGCAUGGUGGGGGUUGGAAAGUUUCGGCGGUUGGGGAUGGACUCGCGGCUUAUCAGCUUGUUGGUGGGGUAGUGGCUUACCAAGGCUUUGACGGGUAGCCGGCCUGAGAGGGUGACCGGCCACAUUGCGACUGAGAUACGGCCCAGACUCCUCCGGGAGGCAGCAGUGGGGAAUAUUGCACAAUGGGCGGAAGCCUGAUGCAGCAACGCCGCGUGCGGGAUGACGGCCUUCGGGUUGUAAACCGCUUUCGCCUGUGACGAAGCGUGAGUGACGGUAAUGGGUAAAGAAGCACCGGCUAACUACGUG
RNAcentral lists this ribosomal RNA (468 nucleotides) under uncultured bacterium. RNAcentral describes it as "partial 16S ribosomal RNA". It matches the Rfam family "Bacterial small subunit ribosomal RNA", at positions 28 to 507 of the family's 1533-position model. The record is from RNAcentral.